RNAcentral lists this ribosomal RNA (218 nucleotides) under uncultured archaeon. RNAcentral's name for it is "partial 16S ribosomal RNA". It matches the Rfam family "Archaeal small subunit ribosomal RNA", at positions 462 to 673 of the family's 1478-position model. The record is from RNAcentral.
CCCACGGGUAAAAACCCGCUCCCCGAGUGGUAGGGACUAUUACUGGGCCUAAAAGCGCCCCGUAGCCGGCCCUGGUGUGUCCCUCGUUAAAAUCCACAGGCCUAACCUGUGGGGCUGCGGGGGAUACUACCAGGCUUGGGGGUGGGAGAGGGCGCCCCGGUAUUCCUGGGGUAGGGGUAAAAUCCUCUGAUCCCGGGAGGACCUGCAGUGGCGAAGGC